AGCAAAUAGAUACCCCGGUAGUCCUAGCCCUAAACGAUGGGUACUAGGUAGUAGACGAGAUAUGCGUUUACUGCCGAAAGCUAAAAAGUGCUAAGUACCCCGCCUGGGGAGUAUGGUCGCAAGGCUGAAAACUCAAAGAAAUUGACGGGGGGCUCACACAAGCGGUGGAGCAUGUGGCUUAAUUCGAGGCUACGCGAAGAACCUUAUCCUGGACUUGACAUGUGCGAAAGCGCUAGGUAGUAGAAGCCGGAAACGGUAACGAACCCCGCAAGGGGGAGCCUAGUACAGGUGCUGCAUGGCUGUCGUCAGCUCGUGUCGUGAGAUGCCGGGUUAAGUCCCAUAACGAGCGAAACCCUUACCCUUAGUUGCAACCGCAAGGGCACUCUAGGGGGACUGCCGGUGUUAAACCGGAGGAAGGCGGGGAUGACGUCAAGUCCUCAUGGCCUUUAUGUCCAGGGCUGCACACGUGCUACAAUGGCGUGUACAAAGCGAAGCGACUCUGCGAAGAGAAGCCAAUCGCAAAAAACACG
This 530-nucleotide ribosomal RNA is filed under the name uncultured bacterium. Its description in RNAcentral is "bacterial SSU rRNA". It matches the Rfam family "Bacterial small subunit ribosomal RNA", at positions 767 to 1285 of the family's 1533-position model. The record is from RNAcentral.